CUCCACAGGGGACCCAGAGAUGAAUCAGACAUGGAUCCUGCCCUCGAGGAACUUACUGUCUAGUGACAGAAAGUGCCAAGUACCACAAGGCAAAUAUUUCCCGGCUACAGAUGCGGAAGUGAGAUGGGUAGAAUUGAGAAUGGGGCUUAGUGCUAGGAGCUGGACCUGCGUCAGGGACCUUGACUCCUCCAAGAGAAUGUUUCUGAAUUCCUUUGCUAUCAUCAGCACUGUGCAGGAGCUUCUGACAGCUCCAACGGAACCACGUUGUAGCCAAGGAAUGGCUAUGUCAUUUUCAUUCUUUCAACUAAUGGCAAAAAUGACCGCAGGGUGACUGUAGAAUUCAUCAAACUUGUCUACAUCAUUAAAAACAUUUAAUACUUAG
Molecule: long non-coding RNA, 382 nt
Organism: Erinaceus europaeus (western European hedgehog)
Lineage: Eukaryota; Metazoa; Chordata; Mammalia; Eulipotyphla; Erinaceidae
Exons: 2
Source: RefSeq, a predicted model, not a curated record